ACCUGAAAUCAAGCAAGAUCACCCGCUGAACUUAAGCAUAUCAGUAAGCGGAGGAAAAGAAACUAACAAGGAUUGCCUUAGUAGUGGCGAAUGAACCGGCAAUAGCUCAAAGUGUAAAUCUGAGGCAUCAAGUCUUAGAAUUGUAAUCUAUAGGCCUUUUAGGGAAGCCACGGUUCUAGCAUAAGUUCCCUGAAAAGGGAUGCCAAAGAGGGUAAAAGCCCCGUAUUUGGUUAGGACUGGGUGUACCGAAGGGUUCCAAGAGUCGGGUUGUUUGGGAUUGCAGCCUAAAAUGGGAGAUAAACUUCUUCUAAAGCUAAAUAUUUAUGGGAAACCGAUAGCAAACAAGUACUACGAAGGAAAGAUGAAAAGAACUUUGAAAAGAGGGUUAAAAGACUUGAAAUCGUUGAGGAGAAAAGCGGUAGAAGAGAAAUGAUUUCAUUUAGAAGUAUGUAGUUUUGUAGGUGUCUUCUGCGGUAAUGGUACUUCAUAGGGCCUAGCUGUAGACCGGCGUCGCAUUGCUGCUUUUUCUGGAUGAAGUGCAAAAUGAGGUCUCGCUUGCGGAAACGUCUCUAGGGAGGACUCUGGCCUUGAAGCUGGAAGCCCUGGUCUCCAA
This 613-nucleotide ribosomal RNA is filed under the name Paramecium tredecaurelia. RNAcentral's name for it is "eukaryotic LSU rRNA". It matches the Rfam family "Eukaryotic large subunit ribosomal RNA", at positions 1 to 571 of the family's 3401-position model. The record is from RNAcentral. Lineage: Eukaryota; Ciliophora; Oligohymenophorea; Peniculida; Parameciidae.